UACAGGGGGUGCAAACGUUGCUCGGAAUCACUGGGCGUAAAGCGCACGUAGGCGGAUUGUUAAGUCAGGGGUGAAAUCCUGGAGCUCAACUCCAGAACUGCCUUUGAUACUGGCGAUCUCGAGUCCGGGAGAGGUGAGUGGAACUGCGAGUGUAGAGGUGAAAUUCGUAGAUAUUCGCAAGAACACCAGUGGCGAAGGCGGCUCACUGGCCCGGUACUGACGCUGAGGUGCGAAAGCGUGGGGAGCAAACAGG
RNAcentral lists this ribosomal RNA (253 nucleotides) under uncultured bacterium. RNAcentral's name for it is "partial 16S ribosomal RNA". It matches the Rfam family "Bacterial small subunit ribosomal RNA", at positions 524 to 776 of the family's 1533-position model. The record is from RNAcentral.